GUGGGGAAUUUUGGACAAUGGGCGCAAGCCUGAUCCAGCCAUUCCGCGUGCAGGAUGAAGGCCUUCGGGUUGUAAACUGCUUUUGUACGGAACGAAAAGCCUCUGGUUAAUACCCGGGGGUCAUGACGGUACCGUAAGAAUAAGCACCGGCUAACUACGUGCCAGCAGCCGCGGUAAUACGUAGGGUGCGAGCGUUAAUCGGAAUUACUGGGCGUAAAGCGUGCGCAGGCGGUGAUGUAAGACAGUUGUGAAAUCCCCGGGCUCAACCUGGGAACUGCAUCUGUGACUGCAUUGCUGGAGUGCGGCAGAGGGGGAUGGAAUUCCGCGUGUAGCAGUGAAAUGCGUAGAUAUGCGGAGGAACACCGAUGGCGAAGGCAAUCCCCUGGGCCUGCACUGACGCUCAUGCACGAAAGAGUGGGGAGCAAACAGGAUUAGAAACCCUGGUAGUCC
This 450-nucleotide ribosomal RNA is filed under the name uncultured bacterium. Its description in RNAcentral is "partial 16S ribosomal RNA". It matches the Rfam family "Bacterial small subunit ribosomal RNA", at positions 354 to 796 of the family's 1533-position model. The record is from RNAcentral.